UCGCCCCGCCCGCGGGGACAACGGCCCGCCCAACCGCCGCUCCCGCGAGACUGGAGCGGCCACGCCCACCAACGGCCGCGGCGUAUCCUGAGUGGCCCCGCUGGCGGCACUUGGUCUGUGUUUACUCACAGGUGAUCGCAAAACUGGAGCCACCCUGAGGAGUGUGUCAAUUUUAUCUCCACACCUCACACAAGAGGACAGACUGGCCUGAACCACUGGUAUCUCACAAAGUGUGUUAUGCACAGCCAGAUUAUCCAAAGUCUGGAGUGUCAGUGAUUCCUGGAAUUGCAUCAACCAGGCCAAGGUGGAGAGGAUUAAGGCAGGAGGGUAAAGUUGGUCCAUCUUAUACCAUCAUGGCCAGAAGUGGAAGUUUUCCCAGGAAGUUUUAUAAAUUGUCAUUUAUAAGACUGGGGCUGGCCCUGUGGUUCACAUGCUCUGCUGCGGGAGGCCCAGUGUUUCAUUGG
This is a non-coding RNA of Equus caballus (horse), 464 nucleotides long. NCBI's taxonomy places the organism in Eukaryota, Metazoa, Chordata, Mammalia, Perissodactyla, Equidae. The record is from RefSeq and is a predicted model, not a curated record.